This 864-nucleotide ribosomal RNA is filed under the name Bacillus pumilus. RNAcentral's name for it is "bacterial SSU rRNA". It matches the Rfam family "Bacterial small subunit ribosomal RNA", at positions 61 to 907 of the family's 1533-position model. The record is from RNAcentral. Lineage: Bacteria; Bacillati; Bacillota; Bacilli; Caryophanales; Bacillaceae.
GUCGAGCGGACAGAAGGGAGCUUGCUCCCGGAUGUUAGCGGCGGACGGGUGAGUAACACGUGGGUAACCUGCCUGUAAGACUGGGAUAACUCCGGGAAACCGGAGCUAAUACCGGAUAGUUCCUUGAACCGCAUGGUUCAAGGAUGAAAGACGGUUUCGGCUGUCACUUACAGAUGGACCCGCGGCGCAUUAGCUAGUUGGUGAGGUAACGGCUCACCAAGGCGACGAUGCGUAGCCGACCUGAGAGGGUGAUCGGCCACACUGGGACUGAGACACGGCCCAGACUCCUACGGGAGGCAGCAGUAGGGAAUCUUCCGCAAUGGACGAAAGUCUGACGGAGCAACGCCGCGUGAGUGAUGAAGGUUUUCGGAUCGUAAAGCUCUGUUGUUAGGGAAGAACAAGUGCAAGAGUAACUGCUUGCACCUUGACGGUACCUAACCAGAAAGCCACGGCUAACUACGUGCCAGCAGCCGCGGUAAUACGUAGGUGGCAAGCGUUGUCCGGAAUUAUUGGGCGUAAAGGGCUCGCAGGCGGUUUCUUAAGUCUGAUGUGAAAGCCCCCGGCUCAACCGGGGAGGGUCAUUGGAAACUGGGAAACUUGAGUGCAGAAGAGGAGAGUGGAAUUCCACGUGUAGCGGUGAAAUGCGUAGAGAUGUGGAGGAACACCAGUGGCGAAGGCGACUCUCUGGUCUGUAACUGACGCUGAGGAGCGAAAGCGUGUGGAGCGAACAGGAUUAGAUACCCUGGUAGUCCACGCCGUAAACGAUGAGUGCUAAGUGUUAGGGGGUUUCCGCCCCUUAGUGCUGCAGCUAACGCAUUAAGCACUCCGCCUGGGGAGUACGGUCGCAAGACUGAAACUCAAAGG